RNAcentral lists this transfer RNA (68 nucleotides) under Tanna japonensis. RNAcentral describes it as "tRNA-Trp". The record is from RNAcentral. Lineage: Eukaryota; Metazoa; Arthropoda; Insecta; Hemiptera; Cicadidae.
AAGGUUUUAAGUUAUUAAAACUAUUAUCCUUCAAAGUUAAAAAUAUAAUUCACUAUUUAUAAGCCUUA